CUCUUGGCCUUUUGCACUGAUUCACAUGGAGCUUGGACAAUCUUCUCAUUGUCUGGUUACAUUUCUUUAUUUCUUUAUUUCCCCUUUCUUUUUAAUCCUCUCUAGUCCCUUAAAUAAUUUAAUUCCCCCCUUUUCCUGUUCGAUUUCCCACCCCACCCCUUACCCUGCCCUGUGGGAAGAUUCUCCCUGUAGCUGUGGCUUGCCUUUCCCAAUAGGGAGAGAGCCCCCGUUAGGGGCUUUCUUUCGCAAAAAGGUUUGCCCCAUUUCUCUUGUUGAAAUUGUGGGGCUAGUCAGGGCUGUUCCCAGCUUAGCUGGAAUCACUUUCGUUUAUAGUAUCCCCGAAGGUUGGCUUUAUUUUGAGUGUGUGCAGUGCUGUUGGCCAAAUUUUAAGCUAGCCUUGGGUGGGAGCACUAAUUUGAGUUCCUUUAAUAUUGCUAUGAGACUAAGAUUCUCAAGAGCAGAAGCAGGGAGGCCUAUUCGGCCUGCACAUAACUUCCAAGCCUAAGUCUGCUACAGGUAGCACUUAAUUGUUAAGUCUCUGACACGUGACUCAUUCUCGCUAUAGGAAUGUAUCUGCUUGCAGGCCCAGUUGCUGCUAAUGUAUAUCUGAGGCAGACAGAGGGCCCCAGAGGCUCUCUGUGCCUCCAAGGACUAUGAGCACUCUGUGUAUGCUCUUGAACUAUGCUGUUUCUGAACAAGUUUAUUUUCUUUAAGUUUGUUUUGCCCUGAUAGUGGCGACUGCCAUUUUAGAGAUGAGCCAUUGUGGCUUAGUGGCUAAAGUGUAGGACUAGGACCUGGGAGACAGGGUUCAUAUCCCCCUCUUAGCCAUUGUUAUAACAAAACAAAACAAACUGCUCCUUUUGGGCUAUUCUGUUGCUGGGUAGUUAGGCCCGUUUGUGAUAAAAGAAUUUUGGGUUUCUUGAAGGGGUGCUUCCCUCUAAAAGGGCAAGCAGGUGUACCUGGACAAGCUGUGGGCUACCUCAACUCUGCUAUUUCACUGGAAACAUUUAUGCCUGGCCUAGCAGGUGAUCCUAGGGCUUUGCCCUAGAAUUCAAUGGCCUGGAAGCGUUUCCGGCCUGAAUAGUGUCCCCAUGUGGUCCAUGAAGCAUUGGUUUCACUGGGUCAGCGCAUAGUGCUGGUAAUGCCUGGGUUGCAGGAUUGGUCCCUGUAUGGGACAGCUGCAUGCUCCCCAUUGCUCUACCUGGACACUUAAGUCCUUUUGGUGGUUACCUCACUGCGAGGGAUGUAACGGGCGCCACGUUUGCAAUAUGCAAGCGGGAGAAAGCACCUUUGCGUGCCCGCAUUGCAGUUUGUGUGUUGCAGGGCACGGCGCUGCACGGGCUGCAAUUGCAUUGCAUUGCAUGAGAGAUUUGCAGUUGCAUUGCACGGAGCGUGUGUGCAUUGCAUGGAGGGUGUGUGUGCAUUGCACGGAGGGUGUAGUUGCAUUGCACGGAGGGUGUUGUUGCAUUGUACGGAAGGUGUGGUUGCAUUGCACGGAGUGUGUGUGCAUUGCACGGAGUGUGUAGUUGCAUUGCACGGAGUGUGUGUGUAUGCAUUGCAUGGAGGGUGUAGUUGCAUUGAACGGAGGGUUUGUGUGUGCAUUGCACGGAGUGUGUGUGCAUUGAACGGAGGGUGUAGUUGCAUUGAACGGAGGGUGUGUAGUGCACGGAGUGUGUAGUUGCAUUGCACGGAGUGUGUAGUUGCAUUGCAUGGAGUGUAGUUGCAUUGCAUGGAGUGUAGUUGCAUUGCAGGGAGUGUGUUUUGCAUUGAACGGAGUGUGUAGUUGCAUUGCACGGAGGGUUUGUGUGUGCAUUGCACGGAGUGUGUAGUUGCAUUGCACGGAGGGUUUGUGUGUGCAUUGCACGGAGUGUGUAGUUGCAUUGCACGGAGUGUGUAGUUGCAUUGCAUGGAGUGUGUGUGCACUGCAUGGAGUGUGUUUUUGCAUUGCACAGAGUGUGUGUCUGAAAAGGAAGCUGGCUCGGCGGCAGCUUUGUCGGGACUUCUUUAAGGGUUCUGGCCAGCCUCGGCCCUGUAAAUUUACAUAUCAUGAUGGCAGCACAAGAUGCCCCCUGCCCAAGCGGGGGCUGGAAGCUGGCAAGCAAUAGCUCAAUACCUUUUGCCCAUAUUCCCAUUUUAUUUAGGGAUCUAGUUGGAUAUCGUUGCUAAAACAUACCACUUGCCUAUGGAGAAGCUGUCUGCCUUGAAGGAAGUUAUUUUGUAAUACUUCCUCUGUAGCAAGUGAUGCUUCAUCAGAUCCGAUCUUGCUGGGUCUCUUAAUUAAUCUUCCCACUAGGCCAGGCUGCCUGCGGCCUGAGGUCCCCUUACCUUUGUGUACGCCUACCAAGUGUGGUGAAGGCAGAUAUCAGGCGAUGGUAGCAAUUCCUGAAUGUAUGCAAUAGUAGAAUCAUAGAAUCAUAGAAUCACAGAGUUGGAAGAGACCACAAGGGCCAUCGAGUCCAGCCCCCUGCCAAGCAGGAAACACCAUCAGAGCACUCCUGACAUAUGGUUGUCAAGCCUCUGCUUAAAGACCUCCAAAGAAGGAGACUCCACCUCACUCCUUGGCAGCAAAUUCCACUGUCGAACAGCUCUUACUGUCAGGAAGUUCUUCCUUAUGUUUAGGUGGAAUCUUCUUUCUUGUAGUUUGGAUCCAUUGCUCCGUGUCCGCUUCUCUGGAGUUCGCCAUGGCAGGAUACCUUGAACCCGCACAGGGAUUUUCAGGUUCAUGCUGGUGCUGCUGGAUCUUUGCCCUUUGGUUUCUAUUUCAAGGGAUGCUGGUGUGCAAAGCUAUGGCCUCAAGCCCGGUGUGGUGAGGCAAUCAUGUGACAUAACUUUUCUUGAGUUUUCCCCAUUGUAGUAGCAGUUCACAUGUGGCCCGAGGAGUUCAGUGACCAUUGGAUCUGCUUUUGGUCUGAUAACCAGGUAGUGGUGAGCGUCUUAGCAAAACAGUCCUCACGCUCUAGCACAGUCUCCGCCCCUCCGUUCAUGCUUUCGAGCUGCGCCGCUUAAGGUUUAAUAUUGUGCUGUCUACUCUCCAAAUUACAGGAUCCUCUAAUGAUGUCGCUGACACUCUAUCCCAUUUUCAGCUGAAGUGCUUCAGAUCCUGGGCUCCAGAUUCAGCUAUUGCCAGACUUUUCCAGACCACCUGUGGCAUUUUGACAACAAUUAGUAAUUACAGAGAGCAGCAGCUUCCAUUUCCCCUUCUGCUUUUAGCUCUUAUGGGAAGGCCUGGAUGGAUUUCUUAGCCUUAAGCUGGCAGUCCUCGGCCAUUCAGAUGAACUGGCCCCCAUCCUCUGAGCAGAUCCGCAGUAUUUGGUCCACCUGCUGCAGAUUGGGCGUGCGUUAUAACUAUCAGAAUUCAGUCCGCUGCAAUGUCUGUUACACUGAAGCUUUAUUUUUCAGAGACCCUUGUAUGAAGUUUGUAGUGCGCAUGGCCUUGGAAGGUUGGAAUAGGCUCCAACCUCAUAGGACAGUGGGCAGGAAGCUGGUCAAUUUUUACCUAUGCAGUAUCUGCAACAAGUUAAAACUUGUCUGCUGGUUAAAGAUCAAGGCGAGACUCCUUUCAGUAGUCCACUGCAUUUUCGCACUGAGGCUUGGGAAAAUGGUUGUUGGAGCCAGCAUGGGGCUGAGAGUCUGGAGGCUUAUUGCUUCAGGACUUUUCCUUAUCCUUUGGAGCUUGUCAUUAGAGUUGGGAACUCUAAAACAGACUUAGUGGGCAGGAGUGCCACAAUCAGGCUUCCCGCCACAGUUGAGGAGGGCCCUUGCCUGGUUAUGGAUAACAGAAUAUUUGGCUUUUCAUUCCCUGGGGGCUGGCCCGCUCCUAGUGCAUGAAAAUGGGUUCCCGUUAGCCAGGCAUCAAUGUGCUUACGUCGUGCACCAGUUAUUACGGCCUGCGGCUUGCUUACCGCUGAACACGCCUCAUUCCUUACGAUUGGGUGCUGCUGCAAAGGCUGCACACUGGGGCCUGUCAGUAGACAGGAUUGUGAAUACGGGUCAUUGGAAGUCUGACGCUGACAAGGGUUAUAUCAGGAAGUGUCACAAUGAUGUCUGUGCUGAUGCUUGUCUGUUAUUUCCUUUUUUCAUAGGAGCAGCUGUGCACAUUUGGGCCACAGCAUUGUACACUAGGCUGGCAAGCAGGUUGACGAGUUUGGACUGGGGCGCCAUCUCAGUCUUCCUGCCCAUGUGAACAUAUACUGGAUGUCCAGAUGGGGAAUGCUUUGGGAGGAGAUCCUUCCUUUGGUGCGGUCGAGUGUGACCUGUGCAGGUCCUCCCGCAGUGCUAGUGGUGCAGCUGGACGAGAAUGACUUGCCGUCUUCCUCCAGCAUAAGUUUGCAUUCCUGCAUGCAAGAGGGCUUGGAUUGAGUUGAUGGCAGCUCUCCCAGGACUCAAAAUAAUUUAAGGCAUUGGUUCAAGGUGGUCUGGAGGGGGGGUUGGAGCACCUGUCCCCUCCAAUGCGCAAAGGAUUCACCAUGCUUUUGUCGACCCCUUUCGAGGGGUAGGGGCAUGCAAGAGUCCCUGGGAGCAUUUGGGGGUGAGCUUGAGUCUGAUCCUGGUUCAUUGCUCCCCACGCUGUUACUGGUACUGACGAUAUGGUGGGGCCCAGUCGUCAGUGCUGCCCUGCUGAGGUCAGGUGCAGCCAGUCAGGAACCAAUGCCUAGACAAACUACCACCGAGCAGGCCAGAAAGCAUGUUAAUAAGGCGGUGGACAAUAG
RNAcentral lists this long non-coding RNA (4709 nucleotides) under Podarcis lilfordi (Lilford's wall lizard). The record is from RNAcentral. Lineage: Eukaryota; Metazoa; Chordata; Lepidosauria; Squamata; Lacertidae.